Molecule: long non-coding RNA, 607 nt
Organism: Siniperca chuatsi (mandarin fish)
Lineage: Eukaryota; Metazoa; Chordata; Actinopteri; Centrarchiformes; Sinipercidae
Exons: 2
Source: RefSeq, a predicted model, not a curated record
UGUUGUGCCUCCGUAUGUCUCCCGUGCACGAGCAUGAACCCACGUUGUCAGAAACAAGAAAGCAUGUUGUGACAACCUGGAUUUCGUCACCAGAUUUCACCACCUGGUUACACCCCGGAAGCACCCAUUUUCACACUCUACUCAUCGAUUCGUUCCCAGCUCGCGCCACUAUUCAACUCUCUUCCGUUUAUCUGCCAUUGGGAGUGGGGGAGCAUUGGCCGGAGCAACACGCUCAGUUGUGCGGUGAAAACAUACAGUAGGAAGGUCGUUUAAUCCCGUGCGAAUCGUUUUUUCAUCUGCCGUCACCUGAACUACAUUCUCCCGAGUCGCUCCAGAUCCACUCUGCGCUGUUGUGUGCGGAAGCCGGACAAACAUCCACAACCCAGCAGCAAAAACCCGGACUGGACUCUCAGACUGACUGACUUUCAGGGAGUCUCGGAUCCUCCGGGCCUUCCGGCUCAGCUCUCCCAGCCCUCCCGGAGCCUCCGCGGCCUCCUGUCGGAUCUGCCGGACCGUCCGGGACUUCAGCGCCCGGCCCGCGGCGUCCCUGCCGGCCUGCUGCGCCCUCAGCACGGCCCGGGCUGCGAGCCGAGCCGCGCUGCGGACC